AGUGAACGCUGGCGGUAGGCCUAACACAUGCAAGUCGAACGGCAGCACAGUAAGAGCUUGCUCUUACGGGUGGCGAGUGGCGGACGGGUGAGGAAUACAUCGGAAUCUACUUUUUCGUGGGGGAUAACGUAGGGAAACUUACGCUAAUACCGUAUACGACCUACGGGUGAAAGCAGGGGAUCUUCGGACCUUGCGCGAUUGAAUGAGCCGAUGUCGGAUUAGCUAGUUGGCGGGGUAAAGGCCCACCAAGGCGACGAUCUGUAGCUGGUCUGCGAGGAUGAACAGCACCACUGGGAAUGGAACAACGGCCAAGAUCCCAAGGGGGGGAGCAGUGGGGAAAUUUGGACAAUGGGGGAAAGCCCUGGCCAGCCAUGCCCGGUGGGGUAAGAAGGCCUUCGGGGUUUAAAAGCCUUUUUUUUGGGAAAAAAAACCAGGAGGUAAAACCCCCGUUGUUUGAAGGGACCCCAAAAAAAAGGACCGGGUAACUUUGUU
This 492-nucleotide ribosomal RNA is filed under the name uncultured bacterium. RNAcentral's name for it is "partial 16S ribosomal RNA". It matches the Rfam family "Bacterial small subunit ribosomal RNA", at positions 29 to 507 of the family's 1533-position model. The record is from RNAcentral.